This 200-nucleotide ribosomal RNA is filed under the name uncultured bacterium. RNAcentral's name for it is "partial 16S ribosomal RNA". It matches the Rfam family "Bacterial small subunit ribosomal RNA", at positions 524 to 723 of the family's 1533-position model. The record is from RNAcentral.
UACGUAGGUGGCAAGCGUUGUCCGGAUUUACUGGGCGUAAAGCGAACGCAGGCGGAUCUUUAAGUAGGAAGUGAAAGGUUGGAGCUCAACUCUAACACUGCUCCCUAUACUGGAGAUCUUGAGUGCCGGAGAGAAAAACGGAACAAGUUGUGUAGCGGUGAAAUGCGUUGAUAUAACUUGGAACACCAAUGGCGAAAGCA